AACUCAAGAAGAUAUCAAAGGAAUUCCAAAUUCUGACUCUCCCAUUAAUUGGCUUUCUCACUGACUGUCGUUGGCUGCUCAGGAGACAGGGAUGAGGGAGUGGGGUGCCUGCAAGAAGCAGCAGGGCAGUGGAAGGAAUCCUGGCCUCAAAGCUUGCUCUGGUGCCUGGCAGACGAACUAGCUCAGCCUUGCCACACUUUCCACCAGUUAUGCACAAGGGUCUCGGGGGAAAAAGCCUGAGAGAGCUGGAGGUGGAGACUGUUGUGCACUGUGCUAGGGGCUGGCUGGCACCAACAGUUCCAGACAGUGACCAGGAGAGGGCGCCAGGGAAAGGUGUGUAAUAAACGGGGAAAUAAAGGAAUUUCAGAA
This is a long non-coding RNA of Cebus imitator (Panamanian white-faced capuchin), 369 nucleotides long. RefSeq lists it as uncharacterized. The record is from RefSeq and is a predicted model, not a curated record. NCBI's taxonomy places the organism in Eukaryota, Metazoa, Chordata, Mammalia, Primates, Cebidae. The transcript has 2 exons.